Molecule: long non-coding RNA, 417 nt
Filed under: Pongo abelii (Sumatran orangutan)
Lineage: Eukaryota; Metazoa; Chordata; Mammalia; Primates; Hominidae
Description: lincRNA
Source: RNAcentral
GAGGAUAGCAGCUACAGGCCAGGGCGAGAGGCUUCAGAGGAAACCAGCCCUGCUGACUCUUUGAAGUCGGACUCCCAGCCUCCAGAACUCAUUUAGAGGCCACCAACAUUGAAUAACCACACUGGGAUAGACACAGCGGGGAAAAGAUUCCUGCUGUUCCCAUCACAGCAGCCUUGGAGAUGAGGAGACAGAUGGAUCUGACCAGAAGUCUGGAGAACUUCGAGAAAAAAGGAGGAGGACACAAAGGGAAAUAAGUAAAAAGAUAUGUCUGGAGCAACUAUGAGGAUGGCAAAUUGGUGUCUAAUUCUGAAAAUCAUAAUUGGUAUAAAUGCUAUGCACUGUGGAAGGAGGGAUGAAAGGUAGAGGGAAUAAAAAAGAACAUGAAGUCAGAAUCCUUGGCACGAAAGCCUGCCGUUU